Molecule: long non-coding RNA, 679 nt
Filed under: Nicotiana benthamiana
Lineage: Eukaryota; Viridiplantae; Streptophyta; Magnoliopsida; Solanales; Solanaceae
Description: long non-coding RNA (NBEN_LNC006942)
Source: RNAcentral
AUAAAAAAAAAUAUACACAACCUAGCAGUAGCAAAAAUACAGAAAUCAAAUAAAGAAAAAAGGAUAAUAACGUAAACAUAGAAGUGAGAUAAGCAAAAUAAGCUUUUGCCUCGUAGCUUCAGCCGUCUAAGCUUUUGUCACCGGAAAAGUCGAAACAUUCAACUUUGAACACAGACAAACUGGGUAAUAAAUACGAACUCAAAUACCCAAGAUUAACCAUUCAUAUAUAUAGAGAUAGAUCAAAAAAUACACAGAGAAAAAAAAUCAAUAAACCCACAAACAACAACAAUAAUCCAGUAUAAUACCACUUAGAAGGGUCUGGUGAGGGUAGUGUGUAAGCAGACAUUACCUCUACCUUGGGCAGAGAAUCUGUUUCCAAAUAAAACUCCGGCAUCCUUCACUUCACAUCAAGAACUUAGCACCUUGCUUUUGGGUAAGUUGUAAGUUAUUUUGCUUAACAUCAGAGCAACACUCUUGUCUUAAAUAUACAAAAUAUCACAAAAUUUUAGGAAAUAGAAACUAACCCAAUUUGGAGAGCAAGUAGAAUGAGAAACAGGCCUAGGACAUGGGUUCUUUGACGGAAAUAAAAAUCUUGGAAGAAAUCGCUGUUAAUUUCUUGAAUUUGGGUAUACUUAUGGUUACUUUUGAGGGAAAAUGAGUGAAAGGGAGAGAACCUUUG